This 498-nucleotide ribosomal RNA is filed under the name uncultured bacterium. Its description in RNAcentral is "bacterial SSU rRNA". It matches the Rfam family "Bacterial small subunit ribosomal RNA", at positions 66 to 543 of the family's 1533-position model. The record is from RNAcentral.
ACGCGAAAGUCCCCUUCGGGGGACAAGUAGAGUAGCGCACGGGUGAGUAACACGUAGGUAAUCUACCUUCGGAUGGGGAAUAACAACCGGAAACGGUUGCUAAUACCGCAUAAUGCAGCGGCACCUAAUGGUGACAGUUGUUAAAGCGGGGGAUCGAAAGACCUCGCGUCUGAAGAGGAGCCUGCGGCGGAUUAGCUAGUUGGUAGGGUAACGGCCUACCAAGGCGACGAUCCGUAGCCGGCCUGAGAGGGCGGUCGGCCACACUGACACUGACAUACGGGUCAGACUCCUACGGGAGGCAGCAGUCGGGAAUUUUGGGCAAUGGGCGAAAGCCUGACCCAGCAACGCCGCGUGAAGGAUGAAAUCCCUCGGGAUGUAAACUUCGCAAGAACGGGAAGAAUAAGUAGGGGACAAUACCCCCUAUGAUGACGGUACCGUUUGUAAGCUCCGGCUAACUCCGUGCCAGCAGCCGCGGUAAUACGGGGGGAGCAGGCGUUG